UACGGGAGGUGCAAGCGUUACUCGGAAUUACUGGGCGUAAAGCGUCCGUAGGCGUCCUUCCACGUCUGGUGUUAAAUCUCGGGGCUCAACCCCGAAUCUACGCUGGAAACGAGAAGGAUAGAGUCAUUCAGAGGCAUCUGGAAUGUCGUGUGUAGGGGUAAAAUCCGUAGAUACACGAUGGAACGCUAAAAGUGAAGACAGGAUGCUGGGAAUGUACUGACGCUCAGGGACGAAAGCGUGGGGAGCAAAGGGG
This 253-nucleotide unclassified non-coding RNA is filed under the name uncultured Candidatus Peribacteria bacterium. RNAcentral's name for it is "contains 16S-23S intergenic spacer region". It matches the Rfam family "Bacterial small subunit ribosomal RNA", at positions 524 to 776 of the family's 1533-position model. The record is from RNAcentral. Lineage: Bacteria; Candidatus Peregrinibacteriota; Candidatus Peribacteria.